AAGUAAAAAGUCGUAACAAGGUUUCCGUAGGUGAACCUGCGGAAGGAUCAUUAAUGAAAUUAUAAUCCGGCGAGGGGAAAGGCGGAGAGUUGUAGCUGGCCUCCAGGGGCAUGUGCACGCUCUCUUCCGGACCUUUCGCCGUAUGGGCGCGGGGCGACCCGCGUCUUCAUAUACCUCUUCGUGUAGAAAGUCUUUGAAUGUUUUACCAUCAUCGAGUCGCGACUUCUAGGAGACGCGAUUCUUUGAGAAAAAAGUUAUUACAACUUUCAGCAACGGAUCUCUUGGCUCUCGCAUCGAUGAAGAACGCAGCGAAUCGCGAUAUGUAAUGUGAAUUGCAGAUCUACAGUGAAUCAUCGAAUCUUUGAACGCACCUUGCGCUCCUCGGUGUUCCGAGGAGCAUGCCUGUUUGAGUGUCAGUAAAUUCUCAACCCCUCUCGAUUUGCUUCGAGCGGGUGCUUGGAUGUUGGGGGCUGCCGGAGACACUGGAUUCGUCCAGGACUCGGGCUCCUCUUAAAUGAAUCGGCUCGCGGUCGACUUUCGACUUUGCAUGACAAGGCCUUUGGCGUGAUAAUGAUCGCCGUUCGCCGAAGUGCAAGACAGAAUGGUCCCGUGCCUCUAAUGCGUCGACGCCUCUAGGGGCGUCUUCCUCAUUGACGUUUGACCUCAAAUCAGGUAGGACUACCCGCUGAACUUAAGCAUAUCAAUAA
This 707-nucleotide ribosomal RNA is filed under the name Suillus luteus. RNAcentral describes it as "eukaryotic LSU rRNA". The stretch from base 262 to 416 matches the Rfam family "5.8S ribosomal RNA". Lineage: Eukaryota; Fungi; Basidiomycota; Agaricomycetes; Boletales; Suillaceae. The record is from RNAcentral.